AUGCGCGGUGAAUGCGCGUCGUGGGCAUGCCCGCCCCCGCCGCGGACCCGAUCCGCCCAGCUGCCUGAGAUAAAGUGCGUCCCCUACCCACCAGACGCGGCAUUGAAGGCGGACGCGUGGGCAGUAACGGCAGGGCGAGACGCGGCGAGUAGCAGCUCAGGAGGCGUUUUCGGAACGACCGACACCUCCCGCGGAUCCCGCGCCGGCCUGCCCGGCGGCGGAGGCGGAGGGGUGGCAAGCGCCCGAUCCAGAUCUAGGUCCGGCGCCUUGGACGGGGAAGGCGGGAAGGCCCACAGCAGGACAGGCGCAGCAAGGCCAUGGGGAGGGCACCGGGGCGAGCAAGGGUGGGUGGCCAGAGGCGCCGGAGUGGCGGCCGCCGUGGAGGACUGGUGGGCUACUGGGACGGGACGGCGGUCGCCGCGAGAGCGAGACCGGGGGCGAGCCAUCCCAUUGGGGAGAGUUGUUUCCGGGGCAAAAAGGAGAAGGGCGAAUGGAGGUGGUGGUAGCCUGGUGAUCACUUUGUUGUUUCGUUUCCGGAGGGUCGCUGGGGAAAAGAGGCGAUUGAAACGACGAGGAAAUGGCGGCCGGCCUUCAGCCUUCUGGUGCGUGCGUGGUACAUCUAAUCAAGUGAGAAAAGUAGUUAGCAGGUUGACCAGGCGUCCAAGGCGCAUUCAUUACUCCAGGCUCCGGCUGACAGCCGACGUUUUUACUAGCCGGAGUCUCGCCGGAGGUCGGCAGGGGACAAACGCCCGUGGUGACGGUGGAGAGAGAGAGAGAGAAAGCUAG
This 786-nucleotide ribosomal RNA is filed under the name Triticum aestivum (bread wheat). RNAcentral describes it as "partial small subunit ribosomal RNA". The record is from RNAcentral. Lineage: Eukaryota; Viridiplantae; Streptophyta; Magnoliopsida; Poales; Poaceae.